GUGCUCACUUCAGCAGCACAUACACUAAAAUUGCAACAAUAGAGAGAAAAUUAGCAUGGCCCCUGUGCAAGGAUGAUGUGAAAGUUCAGGAAGCAUUCCGUAUUUAA
Bos grunniens (domestic yak) is the source of this 107-nucleotide small nuclear RNA. The record is from Ensembl. Lineage: Eukaryota; Metazoa; Chordata; Mammalia; Artiodactyla; Bovidae.